UACGAAGGGGGCUAGCGUUGUUCGGAAUUACUGGGCGUAAAGCGUGCGCAGGCGGUGAUGUAAGACAGUUGUGAAAUCCCCGGGCUCAACCUGGGAAUGGCAUUUGGGACUGCAAGGCUCGAGUGCGGCAGAGGAGACUGGAAUUCCUGGUGUAGCAGUGAAAUGCGCAGAUAUCAGGAGGAACACCGGUGGCGAAGGCGGGUCUCUGGGCCGUAACUGACGCUGAGGAGCGAAAGCAUGGGGAGCGAACAGG
This 253-nucleotide ribosomal RNA is filed under the name uncultured bacterium. RNAcentral's name for it is "partial 16S ribosomal RNA". It matches the Rfam family "Bacterial small subunit ribosomal RNA", at positions 524 to 776 of the family's 1533-position model. The record is from RNAcentral.